GACGAACGCUGGCGGCGUGCUUAACACAUGCAAGUCGAACGGAAAGGCCUGCUUUCCCUUGUGGAUUGCGGGUACUCGAGUGGCGAACGGGUGAGUAACACGUGAGUGAUCUGCCCCCAACUUGGGUAUAAGCCUGGGAAACUGGGUCUAAUUCCCGAUAGGACUGCAGGGUGGUGCCUGUGGUGGAAAACGAUUUUCUAGUGGUUGGGGAUGAGCUCGCGGCCUAUCAGCUUGUUGGUGGGGUAAUGGCCUACCAAGGCGGCGACGGGUAGCCGGCCUGAGAGGGUGGACGGCCACAUUGGGACUGAGAUACCGCCCAGACUCCUACGGGAGGCAGCAGUGGGGAAUAUUGCACAAUGGGCGGAAGCCUGAUGCAGCGACGCCGCGUGGGGGAUGACGGCCUUCGGGUUGUAAACUCCUUUCGACCGCGAGGAAGCCACCUGGUUGGAAGGGUGGUGACGGUAGUGGUAGAAGAAGCACCGGCUAACUACGUG
This 494-nucleotide ribosomal RNA is filed under the name uncultured bacterium. Its description in RNAcentral is "partial 16S ribosomal RNA". It matches the Rfam family "Bacterial small subunit ribosomal RNA", at positions 28 to 507 of the family's 1533-position model. The record is from RNAcentral.